This 304-nucleotide ribosomal RNA is filed under the name uncultured bacterium. RNAcentral's name for it is "partial 16S ribosomal RNA". It matches the Rfam family "Bacterial small subunit ribosomal RNA", at positions 506 to 807 of the family's 1533-position model. The record is from RNAcentral.
CAGCAGUCGCCACGGUAAUACAGAGGGUGCGAGCGUUAAUCGGAUUUACUGGGCGUAAAGCGUGCGUAGGCGGCUUUUUAAGUCGGAUGUGAAAUCCCUGAGCUUAACUUAGGAAUUGCAUUCGAUACUGGGAAGCUAGAGUAUGGGAGAGGAUGGUAGAAUUCCAGGUGUAGCGGUGAAAUGCGUAGAGAUCUGGAGGAAUACCGAUGGCGAAGGCAGCCAUCUGGCCUAAUACUGACGCUGAGGUACGAAAGCAUGGGGAGCAAACAGGAUUAGAUACCCCAGUAGUCCCUGUCUCUUAUAC